CUCUUAGACUUAUGGAUCGUGCAUGAAUCAGUAGGCUCCUUCUUUGAAUCAGUAGGCUCCUUCUUUGAUCGUGUUAGGAUGGGUGCUAGACUUAAGGAUGGCUGCUAGAACUCGAUCUCUAAUGCAAAAGACAGCCAGAUCUUGUUGUGAGUCUAAUUUAUUGACUAAGUCCAGUGCUUCAGCUGUCUGUCAACACGGAUCAAGUGUCGAUCAAUAUUAUUGAAUGAGUGUCUAUCAACACUUCCUUAGGCAAGUGUUACCAAUCUGAUCGACUGAUUCACUAGUUUCACUAGAUCAACCGUCACAUGUUUCUAGCAAUCCUACCUCAACAGAAUUCAAUUCAGGUAAUAGACUAUGAUGUCAUGUGCGCUUAAUUAUCCUAUGAUCAGAGUUCUAGUUAGAUACUCUAGAACACAAGCAAUAAGUCCAAUUUUGUGAAGGAUCUAA
This 447-nucleotide long non-coding RNA is filed under the name Brassica napus (rape). Its description in RNAcentral is "long non-coding RNA (BNAP_LNC019676)". Lineage: Eukaryota; Viridiplantae; Streptophyta; Magnoliopsida; Brassicales; Brassicaceae. The record is from RNAcentral.